This 279-nucleotide ribosomal RNA is filed under the name uncultured bacterium. Its description in RNAcentral is "partial 16S ribosomal RNA". It matches the Rfam family "Bacterial small subunit ribosomal RNA", at positions 506 to 784 of the family's 1533-position model. The record is from RNAcentral.
UGCCAUCCGCCGAGGUACUCCGGCGGGAUCUCGCUUUGUUCGGAAUUACUGGGCGUAAAGCGUGCGUAGGCGGAUCGACAAGUUGGGGGUGAAAUCCCGGGGCUUAACCCCGGAACUGCCCUCAAAACUGUCGAUCUAGAGACCGGGAGAGGUAAGCGGAAUUCCUAGUGUAGAGGUGAAAUUCGUAGAUAUUAGGAAGAACACCAGUGGCGAAGGCGGCUUACUGGACCGGUACUGACGCUGAGGUACGAAAGCGUGGGGAGCGAACAGGAUUAGAUA